UAAAGGUAAAAAAUAGUAUCUUUCAGCAGAACUGUCCAGUUUAUGAGUGGGUUAUUUUAAAAGCAAACCUACACUGUCUUCAUUACAAUUGUUGGUUUGCGUUCCAGACUGACGGAAGCAAUUAAUACAUUUCACAUUUGUCGGGUGGUUGUUCUACACUUUCCAGAGCACUUUUGUGAUGAGAGUGUGGUUCUCAGGCCAGCAGCAGGACCUGGAAACGUACUAGAACUGCAGAUCUUCAAUUCCCAAGCCAUGCUGCUGAGUCAGAGAUUUUGGGGGGCGGGGUGAGGGGGGCGGUGUCCAGCAAUUUACACUUUUACAAGCCUUUCAGGUAAUUCUGAUACAGACCCAAGUUUGCAAACCAUGACUUUAUGCUAUUCUGUUUACUUCUGUAAUGCUUGAAAUAAUUAUAACAAAAACUUUUUUAAAAGGCUCUAAUCCUCUGAAUAUGAAGCUGUUCCAAUGAAAAUUAGUGGUGAAGGUUGGUGUUGAAGGCUUGGGGAUGAGGUGCUUAUAUUUAAAUGUCACUGGAAGCCCUAGUCGAGGUAGAUGUGCAAAUCAAAAUCUCAAGGGCUUCCCUGGAAUUGUCAGUGGAGGACCCUGCUCCCCAUCUUUUCAUUCCUGUAUCCUGAGAGCACUCUUCUGUGAAGAGCGGGACGCUACUGAACACCUCUGAAGAGCCCAUACAUUUUGGAUUCUUCCUCUAUCACUCUCUUCUGAGAGCUCCUGGUGCAUCUUCUGUGACCAACAGCACGCAGGCAUUUUUCAGAGGACAUAGAUGGCUGAUUUUAGGGGUACAUGUGACCACAGUGUUAGCUGGCCCCAAUAAAGAUCCUCUCAAAGCCAAGGUGAAA
Molecule: long non-coding RNA, 854 nt
Organism: Chinchilla lanigera (long-tailed chinchilla)
Lineage: Eukaryota; Metazoa; Chordata; Mammalia; Rodentia; Chinchillidae
Exons: 2
Source: RefSeq, a predicted model, not a curated record